Molecule: ribosomal RNA, 492 nt
Filed under: uncultured bacterium
Lineage: Bacteria
Description: partial 16S ribosomal RNA
Rfam family: Bacterial small subunit ribosomal RNA
Source: RNAcentral
AGUGAACGCUGGCGGUAGGCCUAACACAUGCAAGUCGAACGGCAGCACAGUAAGAGCUUGCUCUUACGGGUGGCGAGUGGCGGACGGGUGAGGAAUACAUCGGAAUCUACUUUUUCGUGGGGGAUAACGUAGGGAAACUUACGCUAAUACCGCAUACGACCUACGGGUGAAAGCAGGGGAUCUUCGGACCUUGCGCGAUUGAAUGAGCCGAUGUCGGAUUAGCUAGUUGGCGGGGUAAAGGCCCACCAAGGCGACGAUCCGUAGCUGGUCUGAGAGGAUGACCAGCCACACUGGAACUGAGACACGGUCCAGACUCCUACGGGAGGCAGCAGUGGGGAAUAUUGGACAAUGGGCGCAAGCCUGAUCCAGCCAUACCGCGUGGGUGAAGAAGGCCUUCGGGUUGUAAAGCCCUUUUGUUGGGAAAGAAAAGCAGCAGGUUAAUACCCCGCUGUUCUGGCGGUACCCAAAGAAUAAGCACCGGCUAACUUCGUG